UAUAUUUCAUUUCGUAUUACGGCAACCAGAAUUUCAUAAUUGACAUACAUCAGAGUACAACACCGCAUAGGCAAGUACUAACUAGAUACCCAAUUACACAACACGUCUAAAUUUCACAUCCAAUAUCUAAAACCUUUGGAAAGUAGCAUCAUAUAUGGUAAAUAUACAUAGGAAUCUCGUCUAGGAAAUUGUUGAAGUGGAAGGCAAAUAUUGAGCCUUCACUGAUGUCAAAGGGCCUUGUAACUUUAUG
Molecule: long non-coding RNA, 250 nt
Filed under: Hordeum vulgare
Lineage: Eukaryota; Viridiplantae; Streptophyta; Magnoliopsida; Poales; Poaceae
Description: long non-coding RNA (HVUL_LNC000792)
Source: RNAcentral